Molecule: long non-coding RNA, 1088 nt
Organism: Misgurnus anguillicaudatus (oriental weatherfish)
Lineage: Eukaryota; Metazoa; Chordata; Actinopteri; Cypriniformes; Cobitidae
Source: RefSeq, a predicted model, not a curated record
AGCGAAAGUAAAAGAAGUUCAAGCUGAAACAUUGAUGCAUCGCCGCUACCUUUUCCUCAGUUCAUCAGUUCUCAUAAAUAAUCUUAAUUCUGUGGAAUAUGAUUUACUAAACGAUGAUCAUCACCAGAGAUAUUAUAAAGAGAGAGAGAGAGAGAGAGAUCUGUUGUGCAAACUUGCUGACCUUUGAAGACAGGAUUAUGGAAUGUACUAUUAAAGCAACCAUAAUAUUACUGUAUUGACCUGGACUGGGACCAGUGGUAUAUAAUGUAUGUGCAUACAGGAACAGCAAGCCGGCCCACGUUGCAGUGGCCCAUCAGGAAAACUCCAGUGGACCAGAUGGCCAGUCCUCCACUGAUAACACAUGACAAAGAGUCUUUGUGUUCAGCUACAAGUCAACCCUGGAAGACAUCUGACAGAGCUGACAAAAUAGUUUUUUUUUAUUUUAACCAAAUGUUGUAUGGUGGAGCCAUUUGUUUUCUCUUCGAUUGAAGCUGCCUUACUAAACAUAACAACAAUGCCAAGAUUUAUCUCACAACUAUUGACAAACAUGAUCACACUGGAAAAACAGUGUGAAGUUGACAUGUUAAAGUGUCUGUGACUUCAACAUUGUUUUGAUUUUUUGAAUAUAAAAAUCCUAAAUUUAGCAAAGCACAUGUCUUAUUGUAAACAAUGAACUGUGAUCAAAGAAAGAAAUCUGAAGAGUUAAAGGAACAGUAUGUAAGAAAUUUAUAUCAAUUAAUCAUAAAAUGGCCCUGAUAUGUCACUAGACAUUAAGAAAUCAUUUUCAUUUCAAAUACUUAUAUCACUGACAACAGUGGUCUGGCCAGGAUAUUAUCAUUUAAAAAGUGGAGUUGCAGCCCUCAACUGAUGUUUAUGUUGUCAUUUUGUGUAUUGGCCACCAGUUGUGUGAUUGCAAUACCAGUUUUGGCCACAAUCCUACAUACUGUUCCUUUGAAGCAGACAUUGACCAAUUUAUUCUGGAUUAUAAAAAAACAACUUUAAUAAGCAUUUUCAUGGUAAAUAUAAUACUAUAUGUUUAAUAUCUUAAAGAUGUCUCUCUUUUAAUGUAAAUGUAUAUUUUGUUUUCU